GGUUAAGCGACUAAGCGUACACGGUGGAUGCCCUGGCAGUCAGAGGCGAUGAAGGGCGUGCUAAUCUGCGAUAAGCGCCGGUAAGGUGAUAUGAACCGUUAUAACCGGCGAUACCCGAAUGGGGAAACCCAGUGUGAUUCGUCACACUAUCAUUAACUGAAUCCAUAGGUUAAUGAGGCGAACCGGGGGAACUGAAACAUCUAAGUACCCCGAGGAAAAGAAAUCAACCGAGAUUCCCCCAGUAGCGGCGAGCGAACGGGGAGGAGCCCAGAGCCUGAAUCAGCAUGUGUGUUAGUGGAAGCGUCUGGAAAGGCGCGCGAUACAGGGUGACAGCCCCGUACACAAAAGCGCAUGUGCUGUGAGCUCGAUGAGUAGGGCGGGACACGUGGUAUCCUGUCUGAAUAUGGGGGGACCAUCCUCCAAGGCUAAAUACUCCUGACUGACCGAUAGUGAACCAGUACCGUGAGGGAAAGGCGAAAAGAACCCCGGCGAGGGGAGUGAAAAAGAACCUGAAACCGUGUACGUACAAGCAGUGGGAGCACAGGUUUACCUGUGUGACUGCGUACCUUUUGUAUAAUGGGUCAGCGACUUAUAUUCUGUAGCAAGGUUAACCGAAUAGGGGAGCCGGAGGGAAACCGAGUCUUAA
This 646-nucleotide ribosomal RNA is filed under the name Salmonella enterica subsp. enterica serovar Infantis. Its description in RNAcentral is "partial 23S ribosomal RNA". It matches the Rfam family "Bacterial large subunit ribosomal RNA", at positions 1 to 687 of the family's 2925-position model. RNAcentral also lists the same sequence under 3 other names. Lineage: Bacteria; Pseudomonadati; Pseudomonadota; Gammaproteobacteria; Enterobacterales; Enterobacteriaceae. The record is from RNAcentral.